This 252-nucleotide ribosomal RNA is filed under the name uncultured bacterium. RNAcentral's name for it is "partial 16S ribosomal RNA". It matches the Rfam family "Bacterial small subunit ribosomal RNA", at positions 524 to 776 of the family's 1533-position model. The record is from RNAcentral.
UACGUAGGGUCCGAGCGUUGUCCGGAAUUACUGGGCGUAAAGAGCUCGUAGGUGGUUUGUCGCCGUUGUUCGUGAAACUCACAGCUUAACUGUGGGCGUGCGGGCGAUACGGGCAGACUUGAGUACUGCAGGGAGACUGGAAUUCCUGGUGUAGCGGUGAAAUGCGCAGAUAUCAGGAGGAACACCGGUGGCGAAGGCGGCUAUCUGGCGGUGCACUGACGCUGAGGCGCGAAAGCGUGGGGAGCGAACAGG